AAUAAGCUAAUAUACUCUUAAUGGGUUCAAUAACAAAUCAGGCAAAGUAUUUGAUGGAGCUCUCAAAAAAAAGUUCCAUCUGAUCCUGAUGGAACUGCUUAAAAUAUUUAUAAUGUAUUAAUGUGAUCCAAUUUAUUAUGUCUUGUUGGAUAAUCUAUUCUAAUCCACGAGGUGGCCGAGACUGACGCCGGAGAGCGUUCAUCAACCCAUAAGGAACACAGUCCUUGCAGCGAGCAACAGUGGCAGCAUGAACCAGUAGUGGAGGCAACGCCAGAAACAGUCAAACAGUCGUGACGCAUCGAUCUAGAUUAAGAAAACGAUCUAUAGCUCAGCGGUAUCGUAAGGCUAGUCUAGCGGAGGAUAUGGCAACGGUGGCAUCGGAGCGGCAGCUGCGAUCAGAAUCUCUUCACCAAUGGAGAUAUGGUGCGGCGCAUGAGAACUCUGAAGGAGGAUGAACCGGGUCGCACCGGUUGUGUACUUUCCCGGGUCGGGCCUUUGUUUGAUCUGGCCCAAGACCCAAAAAACAAUUUUCAGCGGCCAUAUUUGCAUCACGGGAAAUCAAGGCGAAGCUGACAGUGGUGCAGUAGAUCCUCGCCGUCGCCGAAGCUUCAAAUGGAAUACCUUCUGAAUCAAAUUUCUCUCCGAAUGCUUGCUCGGUAUCUUCCAUUAUUCACAAGAGAAAAUACUUUCAAAUUCCAAAAACACAAUAGCUGUCAAAUUGGGGAAUUAGCAUACUCAACAUCUGAAACAGAAAGAAUAUUUGUACAAAACUAAAUGUUAACAGUUUAUUAUUUGUGGAAGCAUUGACAUUUACUUGUGCUAUCGCUGCGAAACAUGAUCAUUAUUAAGCUUACUUGGAAUUCAUGUAAUUUGUU
Arachis ipaensis is the source of this 875-nucleotide non-coding RNA. Lineage: Eukaryota; Viridiplantae; Streptophyta; Magnoliopsida; Fabales; Fabaceae. The record is from RefSeq and is a predicted model, not a curated record.